Molecule: ribosomal RNA, 497 nt
Filed under: uncultured bacterium
Lineage: Bacteria
Description: partial 16S ribosomal RNA
Rfam family: Bacterial small subunit ribosomal RNA
Source: RNAcentral
GACGAACGCUGGCGGCGUGCCUAAUACAUGCAAGUAGAACGCUGAAGAGAGGAGCUUGCUCUUCUUGGAUGAGUUGCGAACGGGUGAGUAACGCGUAGGUAACCUGCCUGGUAGCGGGGGAUAACUAUUGGAAACGAUAGCUAAUACCGCAUAAAAUGGAUUAUCGCAUGAUAAUCCAUUGAAAGGUGCAAAUGCAUCACUACCAGAUGGACCUGCGUUGUAUUAGCUAGUUGGUGGGGUAACGGCUCACCAAGGCGACGAUACAUAGCCGACCUGAGAGGGUGAUCGGCCACACUGGGACUGAGGCACGGCCCAGACUCCUACGGGAGGCAGCAGUAGGGAAUCUUCGGCAAUGGACGGAAGUCUGACCGAGCAACGCCGCGUGAGUGAAGAAGGUUUUCGGAUCGUAAAGCUCUGUUGUAAGAGAAGAACGAGUGUGAGAGUGGAAAGUUCACACUGUGACGGUAUCUUACCAGAAAGGGACGGCUAACUACGUG